GAUUCUGUUGAUCUGGCUGGCUAGGCGGUUGUCCCCUUCCUCCUUCACCAGUCCAUGUACGUCCCUCCCAAAGCUGCAUGAUUGGUCAAAGAGGGUGACCUUCCCUGAAUAGAGGAGGACUGGUCUUUGGUCAAGGGUAUAGGAGGAGCUGCGCUCCCCUGCGAGAACCUCCAGACAAGUUCAAUUAUUAUUUUUAAAGAUGAAGGUAACUUAGAAAUCAAUAAGUAUUCUUUUAAAAUGUUAAUUACAUUUAUUUAUUUAUA
Unclassified non-coding RNA from Meriones unguiculatus (Mongolian gerbil), 263 nucleotides. Its record names the gene 7SK. It matches the Rfam family "7SK RNA". From Rfam's summary of the family: 7SK was discovered as an abundant small nuclear RNA in the mid-70s but a possible function has only recently been suggested. Two independent studies have found that 7SK RNA binds the CDK9/cyclin T complex (known as elongation factor P-TEFb). The record is from Ensembl. NCBI's taxonomy places the organism in Eukaryota, Metazoa, Chordata, Mammalia, Rodentia, Muridae.